Molecule: ribosomal RNA, 360 nt
Filed under: Triticum aestivum (bread wheat)
Lineage: Eukaryota; Viridiplantae; Streptophyta; Magnoliopsida; Poales; Poaceae
Description: partial small subunit ribosomal RNA
Source: RNAcentral
AUGGCCAAGUAUUGGUGGAGUAGUUCAAUCGAUAAGAGGUCUAUGCACUGGAUUUCUUGGAAGGAACUGACAACACCAAAGUGUAAGGGUGGGAUGGGAUUUCGAGAUCCCCACCUUUUCAACAUAGCACUACUGGGUAAACAAGGCUGGCGCUUGAUCACGAAGCCUAAUACCCUAUGUGCAAGAGUACUCAAGGGCAGGUACUUCCCCGACACAGACUUCAUGCACGCUACAACUCCAAGUUCUUCCUCCGCCACCUGGAGGGCCAUCAUAGCGGGCAGGGAGGCUUUGAUCACGGGGCUCAUCAAACGUGUGGGAGAUGGAACGACAAUCUCUAUAUGGGAUGACCGGUGGAUACCA